Molecule: ribosomal RNA, 468 nt
Filed under: uncultured bacterium
Lineage: Bacteria
Description: partial 16S ribosomal RNA
Rfam family: Bacterial small subunit ribosomal RNA
Source: RNAcentral
GACGAACGCUGGCGGCGUGCUUAACACAUGCAAGUCGAACGGACAGGCCCUGCUUUUGUGGGGUGCUCGAGUGGCGAACGGGUGAGUAACACGUGAGUAACCUGCCCUUGACUUUGGGAUAACUUCAGGAAACUGGGGCUAUUACCGGAUAGGAGCUCCUGCUGCAUGGUGGGGGUUGGAAAGUUUCGGCGGUUGUGGAUGGACUGGCGGCUUAUCAGCUUGUUGGUGGGGUAGUGGCUUACCAAGGCUUUGACGGGUAGCCGGCCUGAGCGGGUGACCGGCGACAUUGGGACUGAGAGACGGCCCAGACUCCUACGGGAGGCAGCAGGGGGGAAUAUUGCACAAGGGGCGGAAGCCUGAUGCAGCAACGCCGCGUGCGGGAUAACGGCCUUCGGGUUGUAAACCGCUUUCGCCUGUGACGAAGCGUGAGUGACGGUAAUGGGUAAAGAAGCACCGGCUAACUACGUG